CCCCUCAAGGCCUGCAGGCAAACAGGCCUAUUAGGUCACAGCAAGGCUGGGGUUAAUGGCAUCCAUCCAACUGCAUUCUUCUCUCUAGAUGAGUGUUUCAAGGUCUCCAAGGGACAGCAGAGAUGAAUCCUAUGAAGGCCGCAUUCCUGCCACCUCCCUGCUGGGGCCAGCUGUCAAGCAGGCAGUUUCAUCCUCCACCCCCUGGAGCCUCCCUUUCCUUCUUUGGAAAAGCACAAAACUUCAAGGGCAUCUCAUGGAGGCCGAGCCACCCCAACCAACCCUCCUCCCCAUCAAACUUCAGGAUGUUACCUGCUUUGCACCAUUAUCAGCACUCACCCUCCCACACAACCUCCGUCUCAAGAACCUAAAAAGAAAGAAAGAUAAAAGGGGUCCGUGAAGAGUGGAUGAAGAGUUCAAGGAGCCAAGGAUUAAGCUCUGAGCUAGCCCACUCUGCAUCUACUCCUGGGAUAUGUGCUAGCCCUCAGGUCGACACCUUGAACUUCUGGGAGCUCAGGAACGUGGGAUUCAGAGAGGCCAGUUCCACUGGAGACACAGCUCCACACCAGGGAUGCUUAGGGGACAACUUUCCCAAAGACACGGUCCCUGUCUUCUAGGUUCCCGGACUUCACGUGGACCUGGUGCUGCCAGCACAUGCUGAGCAUUCCUGACCUGAAGAUCUAGAACCCACAGCCAUGGGACAGGACUCCAAUGAAAGGCAAUGCUCUGUGUUUGCUUGUUUGCCUGUCUAUUUCUGAGGCAGGCUCCCCUGUCGCCAGGCUGUCCUUGAAUUCACUAUAGAGCAAAGGAUGGUCUUGAACCUCUCAUCCCCCUGCCACAGCCUCCUGAGUGUCAGGAGACUGCUGUGUUUCAAAAAGCAAGAAUAUUUAUUUGCAGACUCCAGCAUAGGUUCAGAGCCUGAGACUUGACCCUGAUUGCAUCCUGUUAUUUGACCUGUAGACCUCACCCCUGUUUGUGCCUGCCCAUCAGUGUCUUCUUAGCAAAGGAAAACCCUCAGUUCCAGGCUGCUCUGAUAGGGAGCUGCGCUUGAGUCUUUGUAUUUUGUUUUUUAAGGAACACAUGUCAGAUGCUUCGUAAAAUGUCAA
Molecule: long non-coding RNA, 1103 nt
Organism: Meriones unguiculatus (Mongolian gerbil)
Lineage: Eukaryota; Metazoa; Chordata; Mammalia; Rodentia; Muridae
Exons: 3
Source: RefSeq, a predicted model, not a curated record